GCCCAGACUCCUACGGGAGGCAGCAGUGGGGAAUAUUGCACAAUGGGCGAAAGCCUGAUGCAGCAACGCCGCGUGAAGGAAGACGGUUUUCGGAUUGUAAACUUCUGUUCUUAGUGAAGAAUAAUGACGGUAACUAAGGAGCAAGCCACGGCUAACUACGUGCCAGCAGCCGCGGUAAUACGUAGGGGGCAAGCGUUAUCCGGAUUUACUGGGUGUAAAGGGAGCGUAGACGGCAGCGCAAGUCUGGAGUGAAAUGCCGGGGCCCAACCCCGGAACUGCUCUGGAAACUGUGAAGCUGGAAUGCAGGAGAGGUAAGCGGAAUUCCUGGUGUAGCGGUGAAAUGCGUAGAUAUCAGGAGGAACACCGGCGGCGAAGGCGGCUUACUGGACUGUAACUGACGUUGAGGCUCGAAGGCGUGGGGAGCAAACAGGAUUAGAUACCCCUGUA
RNAcentral lists this ribosomal RNA (447 nucleotides) under uncultured bacterium. RNAcentral describes it as "bacterial SSU rRNA". It matches the Rfam family "Bacterial small subunit ribosomal RNA", at positions 329 to 792 of the family's 1533-position model. The record is from RNAcentral.